AUGGGACGUACCAAGGUCAAUCCUAUUUGGGCUAGGAUUUGGAAACUUGCUUGUCCAGCAAAGGUUAAAAUAUUUAUUUGGCGUACACUUCACAGCACUCUUCCGUGUCGUGUUAACUUAGCUAAUAGACAUGUGAAAGUCUCGCCUGAGUGUCCUGCCUGCUCAUCUGGGCCAGAAGACAUAAAACAUCUGUUGUUUCUAUGUGAUAGAGCAAAAGAAGUCUGGGGAAGACUAGGGAUGGACGAUAUUAUCGACAGAGCUUGUAAAAUAGACUAUGCGGGUGAGGCAAUCUUGGAAUAUUUACUUUCAUUAACAGAUCAGGAACUAUGUAUUAUGAGCACUCGUAAUGUGCGUGAUAUGAUUGCCAUAUCAGCCUCGUACUUGUGGUGGGAAAGGCGCAAAUUGGUACACAAUGAGACUACUCAGAAUGCACAACAGAUAUCCAUGGGGAUACGCGCUCUCACUGCCAAUUUUGUUAAUGCCUCCUCGCCGAAGGCUUCCAUGAAAAGAGGAGGAUGGUCUAGCCCCCCGAUGGGAUUUGUUAAACUUAACAUUGAUGCUUCUUUUGACCACGACCUUCUCAGGGGUACGAUCGGGGCGGUCUUAUGAGAUGACAAAGGUAGGUUCAUCGGUGGGCGAAAUGGUAAGAUUGACUGGUGUGCAGAUGUGUUGAUGGCUGAAGCUUUGGCGUUAAAGUUUGGCCUAUCGCUUGCGCAAAGGACGGGUUGUAACCGCAUAAUUAUUAACUCGGAUAAUAUGGAGGUGAUCGAGACCAUGAACAAAGGAGGAUGA
RNAcentral lists this ribosomal RNA (792 nucleotides) under Triticum aestivum (bread wheat). Its description in RNAcentral is "partial small subunit ribosomal RNA". The record is from RNAcentral. Lineage: Eukaryota; Viridiplantae; Streptophyta; Magnoliopsida; Poales; Poaceae.